This 253-nucleotide ribosomal RNA is filed under the name uncultured bacterium. RNAcentral's name for it is "partial 16S ribosomal RNA". It matches the Rfam family "Bacterial small subunit ribosomal RNA", at positions 524 to 776 of the family's 1533-position model. The record is from RNAcentral.
UACGUAGGGUGCAAGCUUUGUCCGGAAUUAUUGGGCGUAAAGAGCGUGUAGGCGGCCCGAUUAGUCCGCUGUGAAAGUCCAGGGCUCAACCCUGGAAUGCCGGUGGAUACUGUCGGGCUAGAGUCCGGAAGGGGCGAGUGGAAUUCCUGGUGUAGCGGUGAAAUGCGCAGAUAUCAGGAGGAACACCAAUGGCGAAGGCAGCUCGCUGGGACGUGACUGACGCUGAGACGCGAAAGCGUGGGGAGCAAACAGG